This is a non-coding RNA of Miniopterus natalensis, 3537 nucleotides long. Lineage: Eukaryota; Metazoa; Chordata; Mammalia; Chiroptera; Miniopteridae. The record is from RefSeq and is a predicted model, not a curated record.
GCUAAGCCAUGCCUGCCGGGCACCUUUUUAUAUUUUAAUGAUGUCUUUUGCAGAACAGGAGUUUGUAAUUUUGAUAAAAUUCACUUUAUCAAUUUGUUUUCUUUUAUGGUUAGUGUUUUUGUAUCCUAAGAAAUCUUUCUCUAGCCCAAGUUCACAAUAUUUUCUUCCAUGUUUUCUUCUAGAAGCUUUAUAAUUUCAGCUUUAUGUUUAGGUCUAUGGGUCAUUUAAGAAUAGUUUUGAGUAUAGCAUGAGGUAGGAGUUGAGGUUGGUUUGUUUCCACAUGGAUAUCUAGUUGAUUAAGCACUAUUUGUUGAAAAGACUAUAUUUCCCCCCCAAUAUGCCCCUAGGCACCUUUGUCAAAAAUCAAUUUACCUUAUACGUGCUCGCGUGUUUCUGGGCUCCCUGACUUUUUUUCACAGCUCUGCUUACUUACUCUUAUGCUAGUACCACAGUCUUGAUUAUUGCAGCUUUAUAGUAAGUCUUGAAAUCAGGUAGUGAAAGUCCUCCAAUUUUAUAAUAUUUUCCAAAAACACUUUGACUGUUUUAGGUUAUUUGCACUUCCAUAUACAAUUUAGAAACAGCCUGUCAAUCUCUACCUAAAAAACUGUUGGAAUUCUGAUUGAGGCUGCAUGGAAUCAGUAGAUCAAUUUGGGGACAAUUUUCAUUUUAACAAUAUGAAUUUUCCAAUCCAUAAACAUGGUAUAUGACUUCAUUUAUUUGGGUCUUCUUUAAUUUCUUUCAGCAGCAUUUUGUAAUGUUCACUGUAGACACUUUUCAUCUCUUUGCACAGGCACAGUGUACUGCACUUCUUUGUAAACCUGGCCUCACUUGUAACUACCUGUCCAACAUCUGUCUUCCCAACUGAACUAUAUUUCCAUAAGGAUAUAAAUUGCAUCAAUAAUAUAGUCAUCCAAGCUCCUUAUUUCCAUCUGUAGGAAUGAUGAUAUCCUUUAUGUAUUGUGUGUGGACCAAGUACAAUAUCUGUUCUCAAUACGUGUUAAUAAGUCACAAUCAUAAAAAUACUGUCCCAGCCCAGCAUAGUUUCAACAAACAUGUAUUGCACUCCCAGAAUCAGUGUGCCAAAUGAAAAGUCACUUCAGCUGUCUCAGCAUGGGAACUUAAGUAUUUACUCACUUGGGAAAGAAAUGGGCAUAAUUUAACCAGAAUAGCAGAGUGUCUGCUCCAGAGAGGUCUUGAGCUGAAGCAAUUGGAACCUUAAUCUCACAAAAAUAACAGGGUCUUGGCAGAGGUGAAUGGGGAAUCUUGCCCAACAUUUGACCACACCAAACUGGCUUUAGUGGAGCCCUCACAUUUACAGGUACCAAAACCUACAUGUUUCUUAAUUUGAAAGGGUAAAGGUAACUUAAUUGUAAACAACGCAGUUUUAUGGUAGACUAAAUAAUUUUAGAGUUAUUCUGUUUAAGUUUUUAUUUGUAAAUUGAAUAAUUCGUUUGAGCAGUUAUUCACAUCUUCUUAGGACUGGUUACUUUAUGAGCGGCCUUUUGUUAGGAAUGGUGUUUGGGCAGCUCAACGAUGACUGCAUGGUGAAUUGUGAACAAGAUGAGGAAAAGAAAUACUUUAAGAUGAUCGUAACACUAAAUUGCGGAGCUUAGGUUCUAUUUGAGUUAGAUGUUAGGGCUCUUAAAAAUGCUGUGACUUGUUUUGGGGCAUCAUGGCCACUAAGAGCGGCUCCAGCUGCAAUCCAAAUGGUGAUAUUUUCAUACGUGAAGUGUUAAAUGAUCAUUUAGUGAUCUUUCAAGCAAACCACAGAGGAAAUCCACAAAUUGCUACAGUUGACUUUGUGCUGACACUUACGUACACAAUCCAAUAGUGUCUCCAUUAUAGUCUUGCUUUCAAAAAGGAAAAAUAUCCCCUACAACUGGCUAUAGGAGCAAGGAAUAAACUUAGACAGAAGGUACUGUUUUAUUUAUCAAUACAUAUUUACCCUGCUAUAACUCUGUACUAAUAAUCAGUUAUCUAAACAAGUGAUAAGUGAGAACAAACUGACACAGUUUCCUCAUUUACAUAUUUAUAAGUAAAUGGCUGAGUAAAGUUUCUGAUUGCCUUAUGACAAUUAGGAUAGUUGACUAUUGUUUAUUGAAUUGACAUCCUGCUGAGUUAGUAUGGAGCUUAGGUUCUGUUUGAGUUACAUGUUUGGGGGACUAGUUUUUGAAACUUGGAGUCUAGUAUAUAAUAAUCGCCAGAGCUAAAAGCUUACCCCAUGCUUGACAGGCUAUUAGAAGAAUAGUUACGAAGGAGAAAAUGGUACCAGAGCAAGUGCCAAUGGUCUUUAGAGUAAUAGCAAAAGCCAAUGAUACGUUGAGGAGAUGUUACUUUGGGGACAGGAUGCUCUAAAUGAAGAACCAGAUUUAUGCAGCAUUGUAGUGAAGGUAUCUAGAAGCUUGGUUUUUAAUUCAUUCUCAGCAGACUCUCAAUUUCUUGGACUAAUUUCUAAAAGAAAGGAAAUUAGUUUGAUUUCUCUAUGCCCCCCUCACAAACCUCAUGUCCUCAGAACAUGGCUUCCACUGGGAGACUUAAAGUCAUACAGUUUCUGGAUUUCUUAUUACAACCUGCUGGCUACUAGGAAUUUGAGAAAUUCAAGGGAGCUGUCUCACCAGGAACUGAAGAAACGGAAUUUUAGGUGUGGUUAGUGAAUGGUUGAAAUCUGCUUUAGUAGACCUCCUUGGAGACGGAAAAAAUGUUCUCUAUAGUUCCAGUGGGUUCAAAGUCAAGCGGUACUUUCCAUUUCAUAAUGGACUUCCCCACUGCUUUAGAGUGACUUAGGAUGGAGAGUUCCUGGAAUUCCUAUGUCAAGUUUAUAACUGUAAGGUGGUAAAAGCUCUGCUUUUGCAUUCCUACAGAAACCACUGAAAUGCGUUACCCUCUAGGGGGCAAUAGAGUAUGAUAUAGGCUCAGAAUGGGCUAGAUCAGGUUCCUCAGGGAAGGAUUAAUCACAAAGAAUUGUUAAAAAUCUUAGGAAACAUUAAAUAGGCUCCAACUUUAUUACAGUCCACCAGAAGCCCCCUAAAUUUUUGUGAUUAGUAAAGCUAAACAGGCUGAAGUGGACCAAGAGAUGAACGUCACUGCCCCUGCAUUGCUGAUGAGUGAGCCUAAACCCCAGGUCGGGAGAAGACUCGAGGAAAGGGUGAGGCAAGGCUGACUCAGUGUCUUGAAGGCGGAUGUGUUCAAGUGAGGUUCUGAUCCUGAGGCGCCCCUGUCUUGCCAGGGGAGCGCCAAGGAGACGCUUAGGUGGACGCAAGGAUAGCACGCUUUCCAGAUUGCCUGGUGGGAAGCCUGUCUAACCCAAACAAAGAAGAAAAGCAAACUGGAGUGUGAUGAGUGGUGGUGAUGAGAAGACUUCCCAUUUUAACAACUGCAAUGUUGCCUUCUUGAGAAGAUUCUCAAAGAUAACAUAACAGUUCUAUCUUCCAUGUGUCUCUCAGUGCCUUGGCACCUGUUUCCUCAGAAUGGGCCCUUGUUUAUUUCUUAAUUUAUUCACUUAUUUUUAUUGAGAUAUAAUUGGCAUGUAACAUUGUG